AGAGUUUGAUACUGGCUCAGGAUGAACGCUAGCUACAGGCUAACACAUGCAAGUCGAGGGGCAGCAUUGGAGUAGCAAUACUUCAGAUGGCGACCGGCGCACGGGUGAGUAACACGUAUCCAACCUGCCGCUUACUCGGGGAUAGCCUUUCGAAAGAAAGAUUAAUACCCGAUGGUAUAAAGAGUUCGCAUGUUCUCUUUAUUAAAGAAUUUCGGUAAGCGAUGGGGAUGCGUUCCAUUAGAUAGUUGGCGGGGUAACGGCCCACCAAGUCUACGAUGGAUAGGGGUUCUGAGAGGAAGGUCCCCCACAUUGGAACUGAGACACGGUCCAAACUCCUACGGGAGGCAGCAGUGAGGAAUAUUGGUCAAUGGACGAGAGUCUGAACCAGCCAAGUAGCGUGAAGGAUGACUGCCCUAUGGGUUGUAAACUUCUUUUAUAAGGGAAUAAAGUGAGGGACGUGUCCCUUUUUGUAUGUACCUUAUGAAUAAGGAUCGGCUAACUCCGUGCCAGCAGCUGC
Molecule: ribosomal RNA, 517 nt
Filed under: uncultured bacterium
Lineage: Bacteria
Description: bacterial SSU rRNA
Rfam family: Bacterial small subunit ribosomal RNA
Source: RNAcentral